This 722-nucleotide long non-coding RNA is filed under the name Rattus norvegicus (Norway rat). Its description in RNAcentral is "long non-coding RNA NONRATT007373". The record is from RNAcentral. Lineage: Eukaryota; Metazoa; Chordata; Mammalia; Rodentia; Muridae.
GUGGGGAGCGUCUGAGUCCCUGGGUUAGGGCUCAGGGCUUGUAAACAUUGACCACUCUCAGAGGGGAUGGGGUGGGAGAGGGCUCCCCCUACACUUCCUCACAGGGUUAAGGCCUCUCCAGGCUCAUGGGCCCCCAAGUUCAAAGUCUCUUUAGCUGGGGGAAGGGGUAGGAAGAGACAAGUGUUCCCCUCCCCCUGCAUUGGCUGUGGCAGGGGCAGGGUAGGUUACAUUCAGUCACAACAGGAGUCUCUCCCACCCCUCCAAUGCCACCACAGUGGCAAGAGGGAAGGGGAGCUGGGGGGCCAGCAGCAGCAAGACAUUUCCCCCUGGCCCAUCACCCCCUUAUUGCUUUAGAGAGAAUAUUGUCUUUUCACAGACGCUAACACUGUCAAAGCCAGGGAGAAGCAGGUGGAGGGGACUUCCACCCAGAGCCAGCCUGAUCCCCAACACUGACCCAGUUGCCACUUUGGUGCAAAAAAAAAAAAAUUUUAAAAAAAAUUAAAAAAAAAGGAAAAAGAAAAAAAAAAGUUGAAAGGAAAACAGAAGGUCACCUCUCUGGGGAUGGAUGGGAAAGAAACCUGGGGCCACUCCCCACUUCCCCAGGGCAGAAAAGAGAAAUACAUUCAUGGAGGAGGCAGUGACAGGCUCGCCCUAAUACUGCAUUCUGAGCAAUGAGGCCGAUGGGAGAGCUCACUAACACAGUACAUUAAAACGAAAAGGGG